This 454-nucleotide RNase P RNA is filed under the name Corynebacterium provencense. RNAcentral describes it as "Bacterial RNase P class A". It matches the Rfam family "Bacterial RNase P class A". Rfam says of the family: Ribonuclease P (RNase P) is a ubiquitous endoribonuclease, found in archaea, bacteria and eukarya as well as chloroplasts and mitochondria. The record is from RNAcentral. Lineage: Bacteria; Bacillati; Actinomycetota; Actinomycetes; Mycobacteriales; Corynebacteriaceae.
AGAGGGUCGGGUGAUCGCGCCCACCGGAACCGCACCGUCAGCAGGUGAAGGCCGGGGUCGAGGAAAGUCCGGACUCCUCAGAGCACGGUGGUUGUUAACGGCAACCCGGGGUGACCCGCGGGCAAGUGCCACAGAGAAUAACCGCCCGGAGACGCCCGGACCUGUGUCCGGAUGCUCUGUCCGGGUAAGGGUGAAAAGGUGCGGUAAGAGCGCACCAGUGUGCCGGGUGACCGGUGCAGCUGGGUAAACCCCACCGGGAGCAAGGUCACGUGGUCGCACCGUAACCCCGUCAGGGGCCGGUGGUGCGACGUGCCCCGACGGCUGCUCGUCGGACAAGGGGCAGGUAGACCGCUGGAGGCGGCCGGUGACGGUCGUCGUAGAUGGAUGAUCACCACCACCCGGGUACCUGAGGGUGCCCCGGGCGGUACAGAAUCCGGCUCACAGACCCCCUCGA